Molecule: long non-coding RNA, 1103 nt
Organism: Aegilops tauschii subsp. strangulata
Lineage: Eukaryota; Viridiplantae; Streptophyta; Magnoliopsida; Poales; Poaceae
Source: RefSeq, a predicted model, not a curated record
GCCCCCUCUUGAUCCAGUCCUCCGCCUCAUCCCCCACCUCUCCCCGAUCCCAUCCCUCCCCUCAUCUCCCACAUCGCCGCCGCCACCCAUCCAAACCUCGCCGGUCGGUGGCCUCUCCCUCUCCUCCCACCUUAGGCAGAGCCACCACCCAUCCAUCCCUCUCUCCUCCCACCUCAGACAACCCCUCUUUCGCUCGUCUCUCCCUCUCCCAUGCACCACUCCUCUCUGCCACAACCACCUACGGAUCCCGCUUGAUUCUGGCAUCCUCCAGCGUCGCCAAGCCUACCCACAGCUUCCUCUCGCUGCACUCUUUCUUCACCAUCGCGUCGAUUUGCUUUACCCCGCCACAUGUGGUCGCCCGCAUCACUUCCUCCUGCUAGGGUUUUGGUGGUGGGGUGGACCUUUUCAUUGCGCACGGCUGAGAUGAACAUCCUCGGCGGUGGUGGCGGCGCGCGUGAGAUCCUCCUACAAGGCCGCCGCCGGAUCAGCUCCUCUCCGCCGGUGGAUCCUCGCCUCUCCGACAAGGCCGCCACUGGAUCCCCUCCUCUCCGACAGCAACGCCUUUGGAUCCGCUCGUCCUCGACAACGAUGGCACCGAGGAGCACUAGGAGCUUCGGAUCAGGUUUCGCUGGUGAACAGAUGAUCACGGCGUCAGUGGCUCAACAUCUCCCUAGCAAAGGCCAAAUAAAAGAUGUUGUUCUCGGUGGAGUUGCGCUUGAGGAUGAGCAGAGAGAGAAAUUUAAUCAAAUCCAAUAGAGGGCGUGUACAAGAAUCUGAAGAAGAACGACAGUGGGGGGCAGGAGCCGGAGGAGACCGGCGUGACGCCGGCUAUGUACGGCGGCGACCACAAGCUCUCCGAUGAGUCGGCUCCAUCUUCUAGCCCUAGCACCCUAUUUUCUGCUCCUAUAUCAUGCUCUGUUGGUUUAGAACACUAGCAGCAGUAGCCUACCAUGUAUACGUACUAAACAGCAGGAUUUCAAUCACCUUGUGUACACUAGCAACUUGCUUACACAGUUGUCACUUUUGCUUGUGGUAGCCAUUAUGUGGCUGAAUCAUGUCUGUGUCUACUAAUCAUCAGUUAAUAGCAUUUGGCUUCUUUGUGA